Molecule: ribosomal RNA, 383 nt
Filed under: uncultured eukaryote
Lineage: Eukaryota
Description: partial 18S ribosomal RNA
Rfam family: Eukaryotic small subunit ribosomal RNA
Source: RNAcentral
CAAUAGCGUAUAUUAAAGUUGUUGCAGUUAAAAAGCUCGUAGUUGGAUUUCUGGUAGGAGCGACCGUGCCGAACUUGAUUGUUCGAGUAUUGUGUUGUCUUCAGCCAUCCUCGUGGAGAACUUUUCUAACAUUAACUUGUUGGGAUUGGGACCCGCGUCGUUUACUGUGAAAAAAUUAGAGUGUUUAAAGCAGGCAUUAGCUUGAAUACAUUAGCAUGGAAUAAUAAGAUAGGACUUUGGUACUAUUUUGUUGGUUUGCAUACCAAAUUAAUGAUCAACAGGAACAGUUUGAGGAUAUUCGUAUGAACAUGUCAGAGGUGAAAUUCCUGGAUUUUGAUCAGACGAACUACUGCGAAAGCAUUUAUCAAGGAUGUUUUCAUUAA